This 484-nucleotide ribosomal RNA is filed under the name uncultured bacterium. Its description in RNAcentral is "partial 16S ribosomal RNA". It matches the Rfam family "Bacterial small subunit ribosomal RNA", at positions 30 to 507 of the family's 1533-position model. The record is from RNAcentral.
AUUGAACGCUGGCGGCAGGCCUAACACAUGCAAGUCGAGCGGAUGAAGGUAGCUUGCUCCUGGAUUCAGCGGCGGACGGGUGAGUAAUGCCUAGGAAUCUGCCUGGUAGUGGGGGAUAACGUCCGGAAACGGGCGCUAAUACCGCAUACGUCCUGAGGGAGAAAGUGGGGGAUCUUCGGACCUCACGCUAUCAGAUGAGCCUAGGUCGGAUUAGCUAGUUGGUGGGGUAAAGGCCUACCAAGGCGACGAUCCGUAACUGGUCUGAGAGGAUGAUCAGUCACACUGGAAGUGAGACACGGUCCAGACUCCUACGGGAGGCAGCAGUGGGGACUAUUGGGCGAUGGGCGUAAGCCUGAUCCAGCAAUGCCGCGUGUGUGAAGAAGGUCUUCGGAUGGUAAAGCACUUUAAGUUGGGAGGAAGGACAGUAAGUUAAUACCUUGCUGUUUUGACGGUACCAAAAGAAUAAGCACCGGCUAACUUCGUG